This 253-nucleotide ribosomal RNA is filed under the name uncultured bacterium. RNAcentral describes it as "partial 16S ribosomal RNA". It matches the Rfam family "Bacterial small subunit ribosomal RNA", at positions 524 to 776 of the family's 1533-position model. The record is from RNAcentral.
UACGUAGGGGGCAAGCGUUGUCCGGAAUCAUUGGGCGUAAAGAGCGUGUAGGCGGCUCGAUAAGUCUGCUGUGAAAGUCCAGGGCUCAACCCUGGAAGGCCGGUGGAAACUGUCGGGCUAGAGUCCGGAAGAGGAGAGUGGAAUUCCUGGUGUAGCGGUGAAAUGCGCAGAUAUCAGGAAGAACACCCGUGGCGAAGGCGGCUCUCUGGGACGGUACUGACGCUGAGACGCGAAAGCGUGGGGAGCGAACAGG